This 1710-nucleotide long non-coding RNA is filed under the name Androctonus crassicauda. The record is from RNAcentral. Lineage: Eukaryota; Metazoa; Arthropoda; Arachnida; Scorpiones; Buthidae.
AAUAUAAAUAGUAAAUUUUCUAUUGUUAAAUAUAUUUCGAUCGACGGAACUGACAUUAAAGAAUGGUUGAAGGUUAAAUUACUUCGAUUGAUUUUAAUAAUAAUAACGAUAUUUGUUAAAAUAAUGUUUUAAAAAUUAUAUAAAAAACAAUCUCGUUUAGAUAAUUGGCGAAGUGAAGGAUUUAAUUCCUUCGUAUUUCCAAACAAACGAAGAGAUUCCAGCAGAAAUGUAAACUUAAACUGGAUACAAUUCAAUCCGUCGGAGAAGGAUUGCGUUCGAUAUCCAGUGUUACCCUUGCAGUUGUCUAAAUGUAGAGAAUGGCUACAUCUCACCAGUUUUUCAAUAGUAUCGAUCCUCGCUAAACUAUAAUGAAGAGUCAGGUGAAUUUGCUGUACGUUUCUUUAACAAUCGGAUAUCAGUAUAAAACUAGUAAAUAGGAAAUUGUAUUCUUGCAUUUUUUAUUCAAAGUACUAGACUGUGGUACGAUUUGAGAUUAGUUAUAUGUAGAUCAUAACUAGGACAGUUCGAUAAACUGCAACCAUUUUGAAACGACUGGCGAGCAGUUUUUUUAAGUGGAAACAUCAUUAAGAUUUCGAGAAGUUUCUGUUGAGUUUUAAAAAUUAAAUAUGAUAUAAUUUUAUUUAUUGGAAUAGAAUAUUGGAUGAUGAUAAUUUUUUUUAUUUUUAUAAAAGAACAAAUGACUGUUUUAUGGUAACGCGCAUUUAUGAUAAAUUGUUUUUCUUCUCAUACAAGUUAGUAGUUAUAUUAACUUAAAUGCAAGCUUAUAUGCAUUUAAGCAGGCGAGUUAUACGAAUGAAUUGGAAAAGAUUUGGAAUAGAAAGAAUCAUUUAAAUGAUUGAAAUUCGAUGUUUGCAUCACGCACUUAAUACACGAACCAGUUUCUAUCGGCCAACGAACUCCAGCCAUCUGGUGUUGUACUUUCUUCAUCUUUAAGCGUCUGGUCCCAUGAAUUCUGACUAGACCAGAUGCUUUUCUUGUUAUAAUUUCUGCUCUUACAAAUACCAAGAAAGAGAACCGAAUUCAGAUCUAUCUAAUAUGCUUAUUUGCAUAACUAUUAAACGCACUGUUAAACGAUAUUUCUUAUUACUUAUAUAUUUUUUGUCAUUUUUCUUGUCUUAUAUUAUUUCGGAAGUCAGUUUUGAUUCAGUUCCAGUUAGUUUUUUCUCUGUUUUUAUUUGCGUUAUUGCUCUUAUGUCGAUCGAUGAAUGUAGGAGACGUCGACGUUGUCAAUUUGAUUAAGUUGGCACAAAAGGAAAGUGAGCCUGUUAAGCUAGACAUUUGCCGACAUCAAGAUGGCGGUUCUGUCCUGUUAAUUUCUCCACGUAGAUCAGCCGUAGGCUGCCUGCCGAGUGAGAGAGACAAACAUUACUUUCCUAGUUCGAUCGAUGCUCGGAAAAUCUUCAGCUAGACAAUAGCGCCUCUUAUUACAGCUACAUACUGUCUCUCUGGAAUCGUAUCUCGAAUUUUAACUCGUAAUUCUUUGCUAGUGCAUAUAUCAUUUUCUUUACUCCUAUUAAUCGUUGGUACAAAUAUCCAUGGUGCAUUAACUUGUGAGUUACUUCGCUUUCUUGUACCGAAAGGAUCCGAUUUGAGAUCGUGUUUAUCAAAUAUUGACAAGAGAAAAAUUUAAGACUAAUGGUAAUAUGUUUAUAUUUUAGUAGUUGAAAAGUGUACUAAUUUAUAUGAAAC